UACGGAGGAUGCGAGCGUUAUCCGGAUUUAUUGGGUUUAAAGGGUGCGUAGGCGGACUGUCAAGUCAGCGGUAAAAUACGGGGGCUCAACCUCCGCCCGCCGUUGAAACUGACGGUCUCGAGCGGGCGAGAAGUAUGCGGAAUGCGUGGUGUAGCGGUGAAAUGCAUAGAUAUCACGCAGAACUCCGAUUGCGAAGGCAGCAUACCGGCGCCCAACUGACGCUGAAGCACGAAAGCGUGGGUAUCGAACAGG
Molecule: ribosomal RNA, 252 nt
Filed under: uncultured bacterium
Lineage: Bacteria
Description: partial 16S ribosomal RNA
Rfam family: Bacterial small subunit ribosomal RNA
Source: RNAcentral